RNAcentral lists this ribosomal RNA (2216 nucleotides) under Salmonella enterica subsp. enterica serovar Typhimurium. RNAcentral describes it as "partial 23S ribosomal RNA". It matches the Rfam family "Bacterial large subunit ribosomal RNA", at positions 821 to 2925 of the family's 2925-position model. The record is from RNAcentral. Lineage: Bacteria; Pseudomonadati; Pseudomonadota; Gammaproteobacteria; Enterobacterales; Enterobacteriaceae.
GUGAAAGGCCAAUCAAACCGGGAGAUAGCUGGUUCUCCCCGAAAGCUAUUUAGGUAGCGCCUCGUGAAUUCAUCUCCGGGGGUAGAGCACUGUUUCGGCUAGGGGGCCAUCCCGGCUUACCAACCCGAUGCAAACUGCGAAUACCGGAGAAUGUUAUCACGGGAGACACACGGCGGGUGCUAACGUCCGUCGUGAAGAGGGAAACAACCCAGACCGCCAGCUAAGGUCCCAAAGUCAUGGUUAAGUGGGAAACGAUGUGGGAAGGCCCAGACAGCCAGGAUGUUGGCUUAGAAGCAGCCAUCAUUUAAAGAAAGCGUAAUAGCUCACUGGUCGAGUCGGCCUGCGCGGAAGAUGUAACGGGGCUAAACCAUGCACCGAAGCUGCGGCAGCGAACGUAUCACCCAAGACAACUUUACGGAGUUGACGAUUGACGGAGCGAAGCGACGUCAAAGCGUUCAUUAAAGUCGAGUUGGCUUAGGGAUACGUUCGUUGGGUAGGGGAGCGUUCUGUAAGCCUGUGAAGGUGUGUCGUGAGGCAUGCUGGAGGUAUCAGAAGUGCGAAUGCUGACAUAAGUAACGAUAAAGCGGGUGAAAAGCCCGCUCGCCGGAAGACCAAGGGUUCCUGUCCAACGUUAAUCGGGGCAGGGUGAGUCGACCCCUAAGGCGAGGCCGAAAGGCGUAGUCGAUGGGAAACGGGUUAAUAUUCCCGUACUUGGUGUUACUGCGAAGGGGGGACGGAGAAGGCUAUGUUGGCCGGGCGACGGUUGUCCCGGUUUAAGCGUGUAGGUGUGUGUUCCAGGUAAAUCCGGUUCACUUUAACACUGAGGCGUGACGACGAGGCACUACGGUGCUGAAGCAACAAAUGCCCUGCUUCCAGGAAAAGCCUCUAAGCAUCAGGUAACAUCAAAUCGUACCCCAAACCGACACAGGUGGUCAGGUAGAGAAUACCAAGGCGCUUGAGAGAACUCGGGUGAAGGAACUAGGCAAAAUGGUGCCGUAACUUCGGGAGAAGGCACGCUGACACGUAGGUGAAGUGAUUUACUCAUGGAGCUGAAGUCAGUCGAAGAUACCAGCUGGCUGCAACUGUUUAUUAAAAACACAGCACUGUGCAAACACGAAAGUGGACGUAUACGGUGUGACGCCUGCCCGGUGCCGGAAGGUUAAUUGAUGGGGUCAGCGCAAGCGAAGCUCCUGAUCGAAGCCCCGGUAAACGGCGGCCGUAACUAUAACGGUCCUAAGGUAGCGAAAUUCCUUGUCGGGUAAGUUCCGACCUGCACGAAUGGCGUAAUGAUGGCCAGGCUGUCUCCACCCGAGACUCAGUGAAAUUGAACUCGCUGUGAAGAUGCAGUGUACCCGCGGCAAGACGGAAAGACCCCGUGAACCUUUACUAUAGCUUGACACUGAACAUUGAGCCUUGAUGUGUAGGAUAGGUGGGAGGCUUUGAAGUGUGGACGCCAGUCUGCAUGGAGCCGACCUUGAAAUACCACCCUUUAAUGUUUGAUGUUCUAACGUGGACCCGUAAUCCGGGUUGCGGACAGUGUCUGGUGGGUAGUUUGACUGGGGCGGUCUCCUCCUAAAGAGUAACGGAGGAGCACGAAGGUUGGCUAAUCCUGGUCGGACAUCAGGAGGUUAGUGCAAUGGCAUAAGCCAGCUUGACUGCGAGCGUGACGGCGCGAGCAGGUGCGAAAGCAGGUCAUAGUGAUCCGGUGGUUCUGAAUGGAAGGGCCAUCGCUCAACGGAUAAAAGGUACUCCGGGGAUAACAGGCUGAUACCGCCCAAGAGUUCAUAUCGACGGCGGUGUUUGGCACCUCGAUGUCGGCUCAUCACAUCCUGGGGCUGAAGUAGGUCCCAAGGGUAUGGCUGUUCGCCAUUUAAAGUGGUACGCGAGCUGGGUUUAGAACGUCGUGAGACAGUUCGGUCCCUAUCUGCCGUGGGCGCUGGAGAACUGAGGGGGGCUGCUCCUAGUACGAGAGGACCGGAGUGGACGCAUCACUGGUGUUCGGGUUGUCAUGCCAAUGGCACUGCCCGGUAGCUAAAUGCGGAAGAGAUAAGUGCUGAAAGCAUCUAAGCACGAAACUUGCCCCGAGAUGAGUUCUCCCUGAGACUUAGAGUCUCCUGAAGGAACGUUGAAGACGACGACGUUGAUAGGCCGGGUGUGUAAGCGCAGCGAUGCGUUGAGCUAACCGGUACUAAUGAACCGUGAGGCUUAACCUUACA